RNAcentral lists this ribosomal RNA (253 nucleotides) under uncultured bacterium. Its description in RNAcentral is "partial 16S ribosomal RNA". It matches the Rfam family "Bacterial small subunit ribosomal RNA", at positions 524 to 776 of the family's 1533-position model. The record is from RNAcentral.
UACGAAGGGUGCAAGCGUUACUCGGAAUUACUGGGCGUAAAGCGUGCGUAGGUGGUUCGUUAAGUCUGUCGUGAAAGCCCCGGGCUCAACCUGGGAAUGGCGAUGGAUACUGGCGGGCUAGAGUGCGGUAGAGGAGAGUGGAAUUCCCGGUGUAGCAGUGAAAUGCGUAGAGAUCGGGAGGAACAUCAGUUGCGAAGGCGGUUCUCUGGGCCUGUACUGACGCUGAGGAGCGAAAGCGUGGGGAGCAAACAGG